Molecule: ribosomal RNA, 780 nt
Filed under: uncultured bacterium
Lineage: Bacteria
Description: bacterial SSU rRNA
Rfam family: Bacterial small subunit ribosomal RNA
Source: RNAcentral
GUCGAACGAGAAAAGUUCCUUCGGGAACUGAGUAGAGUGGCAAACGGGUGAGUAACGCGUGGGAAACCUGCCCUUUGGUUGGGGAUAACACUCCUAACGGAGUGCUAAUACCGGAUAAGAUCAUUUCAUCGCAUGAUGAAUUGAUGAAAGGCGGCCUCUAUUUAUAAGCUGUCGCCGAAGGAUGGUCCCGCGUCCCAUUAGCUUGUUGGUGAGGUAACGGCUCACCAAGGCAUCGAUGGGUAGCCGGCCUUAGCGGGUGAUCGGCCACACUGGGACUGAGAUACGGCCCAGACUCCUACGGGAGGCAGCAGUCGAGAGGCUUCCACAAUGGGGGAAACCCUGAUGGAGCGACGCCGCGUGGGUGAUGAAGGUCUUCGGAUCGUAAAGCCCUUUCAGCAGGGACGAUAGUUUCAUUUGUUAAUACCUUAUGAAUCUGGACGGUACCUGCAUAAGAAGCUCCGGCUAACUCCGUACCAGCAGCCGCGGUAAGACGGGGGGAGCAAGCGUUGUUCGGAUUUACUGGGCGUAAAGGGCGUCUAGGCGGGCUUGUAAGUCAGGUGUGAAAUCCCCCGGCUCAACCGGGGAACUGCACUUGAUACUGCUGGUCUUGAGUUCGGAAGAGGGAAGCGGAAUUCCUGGUGUAGCGGUGAAAUGCGUAGAUAUCAGGAAGAACACCGGUGGCGAAGGCGGCUUCCUGGUCCGAUACUGACGCUAAAGCGCGAAAGGUGUGGGGGAGCAAACAGGGAUUAGAUACCCCUGGUAGUCCACACUGUAAACGAU